CGCGUAGGCGGUUUGAUCAGUCGGAUGUGAAAGCCCUGGGCUCAACCUGGGAAUUGCAUUCGAUACUGUCAAGCUAGAAUGUUGGAGAGGCAAGUGGAAUUUCCGGUGUAGCGGUGAAAUGCGUAGAGAUCGGAAGGAACACCAGUGGCGAAGGCGGCUUGCUGGCCAAACAUUGACGCUGAGGUGCGAAAGCGUGGGUAGCGAACAGGAUUAGAUACCCUGGUAGUCC
Molecule: ribosomal RNA, 229 nt
Filed under: uncultured bacterium
Lineage: Bacteria
Description: partial 16S ribosomal RNA
Rfam family: Bacterial small subunit ribosomal RNA
Source: RNAcentral